AAAAUCCGUCGACUUUAGAAAUCGUGAC
This 28-nucleotide transfer RNA is filed under the name Monstera adansonii (Adanson's monstera). RNAcentral describes it as "partial tRNA-Leu". Lineage: Eukaryota; Viridiplantae; Streptophyta; Magnoliopsida; Alismatales; Araceae. The record is from RNAcentral.